Molecule: long non-coding RNA, 4950 nt
Organism: Anas platyrhynchos (mallard)
Lineage: Eukaryota; Metazoa; Chordata; Aves; Anseriformes; Anatidae
Source: RefSeq, a predicted model, not a curated record
ACACCUGGAAGAAGACGGGAGAGGAAGUGUCAGGUAUUGCUGUGCCUUGUCCUUGUCCCAGUGUAGUGCAAUCGGUGCGUAUGAAAACGUAGAGGUGAAGCUGGGCUGGCUGCCCCUCUCCUGUUCCUUCUACAGGUUUUUUUCCACUGAACUCUGCUGUUUUCCCAGGGUAUCUGGUGCUGGGGUUACGAUGCCCAAGGUGGAUCUGCAGCCUCUAUUCCAAGACAAGAGAUACUUUGCUCCCACCAUCCAGCUGUGGUAGCAGAGACCAUUUAAUGCAAACCGCAGUUGGAGCUAAGCGUAAGCUGGAUGAGCAGCCUCUCCCCAUCGUACAGCCCUGCCCGUCUCUGACCAAGCACGGAAGGGAGCUUUGCGGUCUCUAAAAAGGAUGAGGAAAGCGAAUCGGGUCUGUGGAGCAGAGGCUGUGACACGCUCAGCACGCUCCAUUGGUGUCUGUGUGCUACCAGAGCUGGAGGUGCCGUGUCACGGCCGAAAGCACUCGCAACACCCCAGCACCCCUGCUCCGUGCACACACUGUGGACCUGAGCAGCCAUGUGAAGGAAGCAGCUUUGGCCAUCACCCACACCCGAGGGAUGCUGUACUUCAGCCGCUUCGUGUCCCCUCUGCCUCCCAUGAGGACGGAUUUUGGCCGAGCUGUCCCAGCCCUUUGGCAGAGGUGAUGCCCAGCCCUCGGCUGCUGCGGAGCCUGGCUCUGAAUUAUUCAGAGUCCAGCAAACACAGCCUCCUUCUCUUGCUUCAAAAUUAGCUAACAGGAGGGGAGGGAGGGGAGCAGGCAAGGGAACAGGUUAAAGCAGGUCAGAGCUUCACCACAACCACAUCGGGCUCUGAGUCAGAGCAACAGCUUUGGAGAGCCAUAGCUGAGCUCCUCCUGCCCCUGCAAAGGUGCCUGCCUGCUCCUGUGCCAGCAAGCACAGCUUUUACAGGGAGAAGCCUCACUCCCUAAUUGGUGUAAACAAGGAAAAUGAAAUAAAGAGAAAGCAGAGGCAGUCUCUUGUCCUUCUUGCCUGGGUCACCUAUUUCUCACUGCUCAGCCUGUUGCCACUGUGCAAAAGUUUUCGUUAUCCAAAGGAUCAAUUUUACCAGGGAAUUGCUUUCUGGUUUCAACCUCUGAGGAUCAUCAAUCUGAGCAGAGAACUAUAACCCCAGCAAGCUGACCCCACAACACAGCACUUUUCAGACCAAUCAAUCAGGCUGCAUUAUUUAAUAGCCAACAGCUGGCCCCCAUCGCCAAUCCCAUCUCGCUCAAAUGUUUCUGCAUCCGGGCCUCCCUGCUGCUUGUGCUCAGCGUUAACCCCCUUCUCCAGGCUUCUCUGCCUCCUCCUCUGGGCCUGCAGCCCAAGGACAUGUGCUCGCUGACGGUCUGUGCUCAGCAGCAUUCCCCAGCCAAGAUCCAGCUGGUGAAGAUGGGAGAAAAUGAUAUUAGCCCAGUCCCCUGGGUGGGAGCUGCGCGUCCUGCUUGCCUCUGCUCAUCUUCCUCAGGCAUCCAGCCAUCUCGGGAAAGAGAGGAUGAAGGGAAAGGUUAGGAGCUGCUUAGCAAUGAGGCUUAAAGAGCAGCAGCGGGGCAGACACCUGCGCUGUGUGCUGCAGAAGGCAGUGAUGGCCUUUUCAGUCCCAGGCUGCUCUGGCUCCCCUCUCCCUGCAGCAGGGUGCUCAGGCUGAGGCAGGGGGCUCAGAAGAGCUGCUAGUUUUUGUCCUCUCCAGCUCUGGUUCAAGAGUAGCAAUGGUGGCACUGGUUCUUGGUGCCCACAUAUGGUUCAGAUGUCGUGGGUGACAGCGUGGAGGAGAGCAAAUCCAGCAGGAGCCACAGCACCCACAGGCACGCUCCCUGGCCUGGGGACACCCAAGUCCCACGCUGGGCUGUUGGAAGGUGACACACAACUGCCUUUUGCAUUAAACACCUGGCUCACCCCGUGCCUCAGCAGAAGUUGCCAGAGCAAAGCUUGGCCCAACACGUUGCACAACGGGGUAUUUAUGAGUUUAUCCUCAGUGCAGGUCGUUCAGCUGCUGCCUUCCCCUCAAAGUGGUGCAGUGUGGUCGGAGGCUGCCAAUGCCUCCACCAGGGAACAAGGAGCUUGAAGAGCCAAGGAAAGUUUGCAGGAAAGUAUCUUUUUUUUUUUUUGUCUUCUUCUAUUUUUUUUUUUAAACGAUCGUAAAGAACAGUUCACCGUCCCUGCAUUUCUCCAAGUCAGCAUCCUGGAGGUCACAGCAGCAAGCGGUUGGAAGCAUUCUGGUGCCAAGCCCGUAUGCAAGGGAAGGAUGUGGCCCCGUGCAGGCUCAGAGAGGAGGCACAGCCUGCAGCCAUUGCUUGCAGCGUGCUCCGGCAGCUGGCUGGCCACAACUCACCCACUUUUACCUGCUCCUUUGCAACCGUCUUGGCAGCUCAGCAAAAGCAUGGAGCCAAUCUUUUGGGCAAAGCAUAACGGGUGCUGAGCUUGGAUUGCUUCUGGGCCAUCUGUGUGUGCAAAAAGACGGUCUUGUUGGACAAGUCAAGACUGCAAACCUCUAUGGCUAGAUGCCCUCCAACAAAUUCAUCAAGGUUGAUGAGAACGAGGAACUUCCAAGCAAGGCAGAGCAGCCUGGGGACAGGCACCCUCAGCUCAAGCCGAGCUGUGACCACAGGGGGAAGCAGGCUGAUGGAACUGCACUGGUUUGGAGGACAGAAGCACGAGGCAGCCUCUGGGCUGAGCAGGAGCUGCUCAUCUUUAACAGCAAAACAGCACUGAGCAUCACUGCAUCUCCACAGAGCUGCUGAGAAGGCAGAAAAGGGUACGGUGUGUGGGCACCACUGACAGCUAACCAGCUCGAUUUAUUGGCGGAGGUGCUUUGGGGGAUAGCUGUGAUCCUCCAGGGCUGGAGUGCCUGAUCCCAGCCGUUGAUGCCAAGAUAAAGGGCUGGGAGAAUUCGUUCUGCUCCACCAGCACAACCUCACUGCUCCCACUCAUGCGGAGAGUGAAGCCUCUCGGAGCACAUCUGCAAGCACAGCAUCGGGACUGCUAGAGGGGAAAGCAGGGGAGACCAGAGGGCCUUUCCCUUCAGCUCAUUUGUGAGAGCAAAAAAGAUGCCAGUGAAACCCUAACAAAAGCAGUCGGUGAAGGGAGUGAAAGAAAUACCAUUAAAAAAAUGGAAACCUCUUCUUGUUGGUGCCUCUUUGACCUGAGCAAAUCCCAGAGGUGUGGGUCUGCUUGGUGGUGAGUAUUGCUGCCUCCUCCUGCCUUUCUCUGGGGAUGCUCAUCACCGGCAGGACAGACAGACAGAGCAUGCACUGGAGCAGAGGAGGGCAAAGGAGAAAAAUCUUAAUAAUCAGCCUAAAAUUGAUUCACUUCUGCUCAAUCUGAUUUCUCCUAACUGGAUCCAUGUGUCCUGGCCAUGGCACAUUAACUUCAAUUAUGGCUUAUUAAUGUCUCUGUGAUGGAGCGUGCCCCGCUGAGCACUGCGGUGACUGACGUUAUGAAGGGGAAAAAAUUACUCCAAAGAGACGUGGUGUGUAAUGGAAACAGAACCGGUGGCUUUCAUCACACCGUCCGCCAGGCUUGGCAGCCAGGAAAAGCUCAUUCACCUGCUCUCGAGAAGAUGACCGAGCUCGUUGCUGCACCAAGCAGAAAACCGAGCAGGGAACUGAGAUCUGCGGGGAAAAGUCUCUCUGCUUCCCCUCCCCAUCGCGCCUGGCACACGCACAAGCACACAGGCCAAGGGCUUGCUUGUGUCUAUUCCUGUCCUGACUCCUCUGUAUCUCCAGUUACUCUGCAGAUCAAUAGGGACAGGAUGUAAGGAAAAAAAAAAAUUAGAUACCAAGAAGAAGAAAGACAGUAAAAAUAAACUCAUCCCUGGACAAAGAAAAGGACCUGGCUGAGGUUGCAGGAGAUGCGGAUGGAGUGGGUAAAGGAAGCCCUGAAGCAGCAGCCCACUGCACCAGCACCCAGCUGUGACCCUCAGGACCCACCAGACCCUCCGGAGAUCCUGCCAACCUCGAGCCCCCUCUGAUCCAGCCUACAGGAGGGGGGAAGGCAGCAAAGUCCUUCCCCUUCUCCCCAUGUCCUUUGCUCCUUCUCUCUCUCCUUUUCUGCCAAGCUGUGGGAGGUUGUGGUGAGGCAGUUUUCCUUGGUGAAAAGCAGAGGGGCAAAGAAGGGGGGUCCCAGGCUGGCCCAGGGGAUCAGAGAAACCCCACAGGACCCUCCAGCUGGGGCUGUAGCAUGAGGAACCCCCUGGGCUCAUGGUCUGCUCUGAGAGCAGUGAGCUUUUUUCUUCCCUUGACCUGUGAACUUCAACUGGAAAUGAGCUGCCACAAGUCCCUCAUCGCCGUGCAGGCACUGAUGGCUGUCUGCCCAAAUCCUGCUGCCGUGCAGGGGCUCGAGCAAUGCCACACGUUGCUUCUCCAGUGCCAUGGGCCACGACCAUGCUCUGCUCCUCUGCUGCCACACACUACAGCCGAGCACCGCUCCUCUGCCAGCCCUGGGCUGCUUGCAGCUCCUGGUCACUGGUUCCUCUGCUCUCCAGCUGGGACUUUCUGGCUGCUUUUUGCCUUUGAGCCUUUAUUUCUUCGUAAUCAUCUUCCCUCUCAUUUUCUGUGACCCCUGUGGUGAAUCCCUAACAACACACCCCAUUUUAUCUGCACACUCUCUUCCCACUGCUCAUAUGCGGUCUGUGCUCGUGGGCUGCAAGAGGCAUUGCACGUCCCCAGCCCUCCCCACUCUGCCUCAGCCCUUUCCUGAGUAGCUCACAUUGAUUUCUCCUCUCUUCCUCUCUCUAACCCACCCCUUGUUGAGCCACACAGAAGAUUUAAUUUGGUUUUAGUCCCUGCACUGUAACUGGCUUUGCUUACAGCUCGAAUUAGAUUGCUUUCCUGCAAAAAACCUCUGCUUGCUGGGACUGGAAUAAUCACAGGAGCAGAGUGAAUUCACACAAAGCUUCUCCACCUCACACACCACUUAU